Molecule: ribosomal RNA, 465 nt
Filed under: Vreelandella stevensii
Lineage: Bacteria; Pseudomonadati; Pseudomonadota; Gammaproteobacteria; Oceanospirillales; Halomonadaceae
Description: partial 16S ribosomal RNA
Rfam family: Bacterial small subunit ribosomal RNA
Source: RNAcentral
CCUACGGGAGGCAGCAGUGGGGAAUAUUGGACAAUGGGGGGAACCCUGAUCCAGCCAUGCCGCGUGUGUGAAGAAGGCCCUCGGGUUGUAAAGCACUUUCAGUGAGGAAGAACGCCUGGUGGUUAAUACCCAUCAGGAAAGACAUCACUCACAGAAGAAGCACCGGCUAACUCCGUGCCAACAGCCGCGGUAAUACGGAGGGUGCGAGCGUUAAUCGGAAUUACUGGGCGUAAAGCGCGCGUAGGUGGCUUGAUAAGCCGGUUGUGAAAGCCCCGGGCUCAACCUGGGAACGGCAUCCGGAACUGUCAAGCUAGAGUGCAGGAGAGGAAGGUAGAAUUCCCGGUGUAGCGGUGAAAUGCGUAGAGAUCGGGAGGAAUACCAGUGGCGAAGGCGGCCUUCUGGACUGACACUGACACUGAGGUGCGAAAGCGUGGGUAGCAAACAGGAUUAGAUACCCUUGUAGUC